GUAUGUAACCUUACAAUUUUGGAGGGCUGUCACUGGAAAGUCUUUUCUAAGUGUAUAUUUUUUUAUAUAAAGAGACUUAUAGCAGUAACUAAAGGGAAAUAAAACACCACAAAAUCCUAUUGGAGACAUCGCAAACAUUUUGAAUUCCAUUAUUUGUCAUUAUUCCCUGCCAUUACAGUUCCUGCAAUGUUUAUAUGAUCAUAUACAGAGAGGAAAAUCUUGUGCAGCUUGUUCUAGUCUACUCCAUCUUUUCAUUCUGGGAAAACAAAAUGGAAAAACAGAGGCCCCA
Molecule: long non-coding RNA, 289 nt
Filed under: Anas platyrhynchos platyrhynchos (common mallard)
Lineage: Eukaryota; Metazoa; Chordata; Aves; Anseriformes; Anatidae
Description: lncRNA (ENSAPLG00000027917.1)
Source: RNAcentral